CCCUAGAUGGGUGUCUAGCAUUCUCCCUAUCCAGUAAGUGAAUUUGUCCCUCCAGUUCUACCAAUUCUCUUCUGUUUUGCCUACUCCUGGCAGUCUGAAAGGAGAUGAUACAGCCUCUCAAAUAAUCCUUCAGCAUUUCCCACAGUAAUUCUGGGGAAGUCUCUGUGUUGUCGUUGGUAUCAAAGAAAAAUGUAUUUUGGUCUUUAAGAUGUUCACAGAAUGUUGGUUCUGUGAGGAGCUGAGGAUUCAACCUCCAGACCCUCUCGUUUGGUACGAUGUCACCCAAUCUCAGGGAGAAGGUAUUCAAGAAUUCGCUUGAAUAGGAGGUAGGGGUUCGCCGGGUAGAGGAUCUAUCCAAAUAUUGGUCUAGUACACAGUUGACGUCCCCUCCAAUGACCAGGUUAGUAUGGGAGAUAUCUGGAAUCAGGGCAAGGACUCUUUUGAAAAAAGAGGGGUUAUCAAUGUUUGGCCCAUAGAUAUUUAGUAGAGUUACAGAAGUAGAGUGGAUCUCUCCUAUUACGAUCACAUAACGACCCUCUUUGUCCACAAUAGUGGUUUUAUGUUGAAAGGGAAUUCCUUUCCGUACCAGAAUCGCUGUGCCUCUCGUUUUGGCAGAGAAGUUAGAGUGAUACACUUGCCCCACCCACUUACAUUUAAGUCUGCUAUGAGAAUUGUUUUUCAGAUGGGUUUCUUGCAAAAAUAUAAUAUCAGACGAGAGUGCUUUCAAGUGGGCUAGGACCUUGCCUCUCUUAAUUGGUUCAUUUAAACCCUUGACAUUCCAGGAAGUGAAUGUAAGCCCCGCCCUCCUCUCAUUUGUAGUUCCUAUGGUGGCCUGCAUAGCAUGUAAGUUACUAAAAAGGUAAGAAAGCGCACCAAAUCAUCACGAUCAGCAUAUGUAGCACCUACACCCGAGCAGUAUCCAACCCACCCCUCCCCCCCUGCAAGCACCUUUACUCUCCACCCUGUUCCCCUACUUUCCCCAACAUUUACCCCUCCCAUCAACCCACAUUUAACACAU
Non-coding RNA from Salmo salar (Atlantic salmon), 1018 nucleotides. Lineage: Eukaryota; Metazoa; Chordata; Actinopteri; Salmoniformes; Salmonidae. The record is from RefSeq and is a predicted model, not a curated record.